Unclassified non-coding RNA from Pelodiscus sinensis (Chinese soft-shelled turtle), 298 nucleotides. It matches the Rfam family "Metazoan signal recognition particle RNA". Rfam says of the family: The signal recognition particle (SRP) is a universally conserved ribonucleoprotein. NCBI's taxonomy places the organism in Eukaryota, Metazoa, Chordata, Testudines, Trionychidae. The record is from Ensembl.
GCCAGCGGGCAGCCCCCGUGGUAUGUGCCUGUGAUCUCAGCGCCCGGGGAGGCUGAGGCCGGUGGAUCGCUUGAGCUCAGGAGUUCUGGGCUGCAGGGGACUGUGCCAAGUGGGUGUCCGCACUGAGGGUGGCAUCGACAUGGGGAGUCCCUGGGGAGCCAGGGAUCCCCAGGUUGCCUAAGGAGGGGUGAUCCGGCCCAGGUCGGGAACGGAGCAGGUCCCGUGUUGCUCAGUAGUGGGAUGGCGCCUGUGAACAGCCCCUGCAGUGCAGGCUGGGCAAGACAGGGAGACCUGGCAU